CUCUUUCACCAGCGCACCCUGGAUGUGGAGACAGAACGGCACAGGUAUGUAAGUGUUUGGCAUAUUCACAUGAGGUUGUACUUGAUAUUCACUAGUGAUGGCGAGAUGAAGCCUCAUGAAGCAUCGAAGCUUUCCAUCCAAUUACUCGCCUCCUGGGCCGAAGCUUCAUGGUCGUGCUUCAUUUGCUCUGUUGCGCCAUCAAGUGGACAAUAAAUGUAAAACAGACAGAGUGAUAAACCAAAGACACCCCGAGGCUUUGGUGCGCGAAGCUUUGAAUCCAAUGAAUGAAUGAAUGGAUGUGAUGCCGUGUGUUUGUGAUACAAUACAGAAAUGAUAAAGUUAUUAAUAUGGUGUUUGUCUUUAAGACACAGUUGCAGUGUCAAAAAGGGGAAGAGGACAUAAAUUAUCGAGAGGGUUGUGAUGUGAAUGUGUUACUUAGUUUGUUGUUCGUACUUUUGUUACGGGGACAACAAAUAAAACAUAAACAAUUCAUUUAUAUUUAUUUAUUUUUAUUUAAAAACAACUUUUCAACAAGUCUCGAGUCUAUGGAUUGUGAGUGGGGCAGGACUCCGUUGCGUUUCGCUGCCUGUUAAAUCAUCCGCCAAACCCGUGAACCGUUUCUUGAACCAGUCACGUGGUAUAGCCGGGUAGCGAGGCUUCGGACGUCAUCAUUUUUGGCUCCACCCCUACAUGAAGCAAGCCUCGAUACGCGCUUCGCGGAAACGCCCCCUUCAUUACUCGACACACGCUUCGAAGCCUCGGCACUGAAGGACACAUCACUAAUAUUCACCUUCCCUCUUUUAAUUUCCCCAACACAUUUGUUCGGACUUUGCUAAUUUACAGGCUACUAUGUUUCUCAUAGGUGGUGGUGCGGCUAAAUCAACACGAACUGCGAUCCUCUGUGAGAAACAGGUAUACUAACGCACGUCAAUAACCAAAUCUGAACGAAAGUAUUUUUACCGAAAUACUUCAUGGAAAUGCGAUCAGACUGAGACGCUAAGGCAGAAGAACUACCGCGUCAACAGUGUAAAGUGAUCAAUAUGAUGAUUAUUACUUCAAGGAAACGAUAAAUAAAUGAUCAUAAAUGUUCUUCGUUUAGCUGCGUCACCCCGCAGCAGUCCGUGGACUGGCCCGAGGUCUCCUACAAACAAGUGGCUGCUGAAAGAGAGCAGGUGAGUUGUGUUUAGUCUCUUUGCUAAAGAAAUUAGGCAAAGUUAAAAAGAUGUUUGGUGGCUAGUACUAUGGCUGGGACCCUAUAUGUACUGUUGAUGAAGUUAGGUGCUGUUCUGAGCAUUAUUUGUGGCUAUAGAGUGGCUUUUUGGUUGAGGUUUGUAUGUGGCUCCUAAGACCACUUUGCUAUCCUGCAGUCGUUCCUAAAGUUGGUAUAACUAGAGAAGCAAGCGGUCUGCAAUAUUAAUCUCUUGAGGCGGUGUCUAACUCGGUGUUAAGGUGUGUUUGACUCUAAAUUAAUUUUACACCGGAAUAUCCCUUUAAAAUGUUGCUGUUGUUGAAUGUACUUGCUGGUCCACUGGGACACCUCAAAUGCAAUAUCAUAUACAAUAACUGGAUGACAGAAAAACAUCCUCUGGAAAGUCAGUAACAUGAUCGAUCCUUCAAAACAAAUCAGCUUGCUCAUAAACAAAACCCAAACAAUUCAAACAUUUUCAUUUUGAAGUCGUAUCAAAGUCUAUUGUUCUGGCUCACUCAAAAUUGAUGACUUCUUUUGUAUUGAAUCCAGAACCCAACUUCUUUCUUUUCAGCAGAAAUCAUUCAGCAGUUUUCACAGCGAGUAAAUAAAGUACUUUAUUUACUGUCUGGCCAACAUCUCAACUUUCGUUUUAAGAUCCAAGUUUGGUCAUAAUCUUUCAGAGCUAUUCUGUUGGUGUGGGUACAAAUCUUGUAUGUCAUGACUGUGAGCAUUAACAGGCCCUGGCACAUGACUAGGGACUGUGUUGUUCAACUGAACUGUGUUGACAGCAUCCAGCCAGAGCUGUGGUUAACUGUCUUUAUAUAGCCCAUUCAUUCAUUGCCUGUAUGAUGAAAAGUUAAAACAAUGAGGAUGUGGGACUCUGAAUCAAAAUAUCAAUGUUUAAAUUGUAUCCAGGGGAAAACGUGAAAUGUGACUUUGGCAAUGCUUCAUUUCAAACAGCGACUCCAAAGAUAAAGCUGCAACAGAAACAGUUUUACUACACCAAAAACAGAUCAACAUUACCAUGAAACCCCAAAAGUUGAUAAUUGGAAAAGUCAAUAACUGGACUCACCUUUCAGUGCUUACACUUCAGACUUGCACCAAAGGAUCAUGCUACCUAUUCCCUUAUCUGCUUCACCCUUAAUCCCCACCUGCAGCAUCUUGCAUGUUGAAUAAGUUUGUGUAGAGAAAAUCAGUCAUGUGUUUGUGUUUCAAAAAGUAGAAUAAAUAUCACCCCAUAAUAAAUUUCAGGGCCAUUUUUUUUCCUGUGUCUCUUCCAGGUUUGUCUCAGAGCAAGAUUUUCCUUUGACCUCACCGUGACGAUUCUUACCAUCCUGUGUGACACUUCAUUAACCCCUUAGUAGAAGCGUGGAUACCACAUAGUAUCUUAAGAGGUAACAAGUACUGCAUGAUAGUGGACUUCUUUAUUUUUCUGCUCGACAACAUACAAGAACAUUCUCAGUCUACCUUGUUGUUACUGGAGGAGCUUUAUUCAUCACUGAGUAGUACUGUCACUGAGUAAAACAUAUUUGCUGCUCAGUUCAUAGUUUUGUUGAUAUUAACAGAGAAAUGAAUUUGUGUGUUUAUCUAAGGUCUUCAGGAUUUCCUCUAUGAUUGUAUUUUGUGUGUAAAUUUAAAUACUUGUACUGAUUUGUUCUCUGAAACCUGUGGAUUAUUCUCAGGGAACAGAGUGAAAUGUUUUCGUUCCUCAGAAUCACUCAUAAAAACUUUGAUACUGUGAGAUAUAUUCAUAUUAAUAUUGUAUUACAACACUGUGACAAGAGAUGGCAUCUGUGGUAGCACAUUCCUGCAAUGGGAAAAAAUGUCAUGUUAAAGGUGCAUACUUUUGUUUACAGUACUUUUUGUUUAUACAGAGUUCUGGUUAUAAGUGGAGCCAAAGACACAAAGCUGGCCUUGUAAUCGACCUCAUUUUGUGGACAGACAACUCUCACAGUUUUCAAAACUUUGGAUUAUAUACAUUUAAUGACCAUCUAUUCUGUGAUGAUUCAGUAGAUUGAAAUGUGUUGUUAAACAUACUUUUUUUUUUUUCUUAAAUUUUAUUAUUGAUAUGCUGAUCCUGCAAUCACUGCUCACACAGUUGACAGCGUUUUCGUGAAGCAAUAACAGUAUCUUUUUAUGUGAAAAUACUACUGUACUGGAAAUGUAUUAUUUUGAGAGGUAGUUUUUGAUGAAUUAUCUGUGUAUGUUUUUAAUGAGGUUCAUGCUAACAGAAAAGUUUCAUCUUUACACUUCAGAUGGCGCUCACUUAGGGUAAACCAGUAUGCAGUAUUUCCAAUGCAGGAUUACUGACUGUUUUUAGUGCCUUAAGCAGCUCUUCAUAUGUUAUCCCUGACAGACUCUUGUUUUAUUUUAUAAAGCAUAUUCACAUGAUAUAAAGUUGCUCUCUUUAUAUCUCUACAGAGUAAAUAUCGUGGUUAGCGUUAUGUGUUUAGUUUAAAUGUAGAACCAGAGCAGUCAUCAGUACAGAGCGGUAUUUGAACUUUCAUCAUGUGGCUUUGUGUCUCGACAGCAUGUCUGACAAGUGUGCAGAAAUAGU
RNAcentral lists this long non-coding RNA (3746 nucleotides) under Xyrichtys novacula (pearly razorfish). The record is from RNAcentral. Lineage: Eukaryota; Metazoa; Chordata; Actinopteri; Labriformes; Labridae.